Molecule: ribosomal RNA, 488 nt
Filed under: uncultured bacterium
Lineage: Bacteria
Description: partial 16S ribosomal RNA
Rfam family: Bacterial small subunit ribosomal RNA
Source: RNAcentral
UGGGGAAUAUUGGACAAUGGGGGCAACCCUGAUCCAGCCAUGCCGCGUGAGUGAUGAAGGCCUUCGGGUUGUAAAGCUCUUUUGGCGGGGACGAUGAUGACGGUACCCGCAGAAUAAGCCCCGGCUAACUUCGUGCCAGCAGCCGCGGUAAGACGAAGGGGGCUAGCGUUGUUCGGAAUUACUGGGCGUAAAGCGAGUGUAGGCGGUUGCCGUAGUCAGGUGUGAAAGCCUUGAGCUCAACUCAAGAAAUGCACUUGAUACUGGGUGACUAGAGGACCGGAGAGGAUAGUGGAAUUCCCAGUGUAGUGGUGAAAUACGUAGAGAUUGGGAAGAACACCAGUGGCGAAGGCGGCUAUCUGGACGGUUACUGACGCUAAGACUCGAAAGCGUGGGGAGCAAAACAGGAUUAGAUACCCUGGUAGUCCACGCCGUAAAACGAUGGGUGCUAGACGUUGGCGAGCUUGCUCGUCAGUGUCGCAGCUAACGCG